UUCUGUCUGCAAAUUUUGAGUCGGGCGUGCAAGUCUGGGACAGUCAGUUAGCUGCUGAUUGUCAUCAACUGAACAUGGUUUCAGUUUUUUUUUCUGUUUGUGCCGGAACAAUCUAGCGCUGUUUUUUCGAAGUGAGAUUAUGAAGUGCAAUAGCCACGAAAACCGAAGUUCCAGAGCAACAACGUCGGUGCAAAUCACCGACAACAAAGCCAAGCGCAACUUGAAGCCGGAGGUGAGCUAGGCUCACCCGGUCCAGGACAUGGGAG
Molecule: long non-coding RNA, 266 nt
Organism: Culex quinquefasciatus (southern house mosquito)
Lineage: Eukaryota; Metazoa; Arthropoda; Insecta; Diptera; Culicidae
Exons: 2
Source: RefSeq, a predicted model, not a curated record